UUCCUAAUACUUGCUGUGUACAAGGCCUGAC
RNAcentral lists this non-coding RNA (31 nucleotides) under Rattus norvegicus (Norway rat). The record is from RNAcentral. Lineage: Eukaryota; Metazoa; Chordata; Mammalia; Rodentia; Muridae.